AGGACGAACGCUGGCGGCGUGCCUAACACAUGCAAGUCGAACGGAGUCCAUCCGGUGGCAACACCGGUGAAGAUUCAGUGGCGAACGGGUGCGGAACACGUGAGCAACCUGCCCCGAAGACCGGGAUAACGGCGGGAAACUGCCGCUAAUACCGGAUAUCCCCACGAGAUCGCAUGGCCUUGUGAGGAAAGGAUUACCGCUUCGGGAGGGGCUCGCGGCCUAUCAGCUUGUUGGUGAGGUAACGGCUCACCAAGGCGACGACGGGUA
Molecule: ribosomal RNA, 267 nt
Filed under: uncultured bacterium
Lineage: Bacteria
Description: partial small subunit ribosomal RNA
Rfam family: Bacterial small subunit ribosomal RNA
Source: RNAcentral